GAUGAACGCUGGCGGCGUGCUUAACACAUGCAAGUCGAACGGAAAGGCUCCUGCUUGCAGGGGUACUCGAGUGGCGAACGGGUGAGUAACACGUGGGUGAUCUGCCCUGCACUUCGGGAUAAGCCUGGGAAACUGGGUCUAAUACCGGAUAGGACGAUGGUUUGGAUGCCAUUGUGGAAAGUUUUUCGGUGUGGGAUGAGCUCGCGGCCUAUCAGCUUGUUGGUGGGGUAAUGGCCUACCAAGGCGUCGACGGGUAGCCGGCCUGAGAGGGUGUACGGCCACAUGGGGAAUGAGCGACGGCCCAGCGUCCUACGGGAGGGAGGAGGGGGGAGUAGUGUACAAUGGGCGGAAGCCUGAUGCAGCGACGCGGCGUGGGGGAUGACGGCCUUCGGGUUGUAAAAGCCGUGCGCUAGGGACGAAGCGCAAGUGACGGGACGUGGAGGAGAAGCACCGGCUAACUACGUG
This 465-nucleotide ribosomal RNA is filed under the name uncultured bacterium. RNAcentral describes it as "partial 16S ribosomal RNA". It matches the Rfam family "Bacterial small subunit ribosomal RNA", at positions 28 to 507 of the family's 1533-position model. The record is from RNAcentral.